Molecule: ribosomal RNA, 326 nt
Filed under: uncultured eukaryote
Lineage: Eukaryota
Description: partial 18S ribosomal RNA
Rfam family: Eukaryotic small subunit ribosomal RNA
Source: RNAcentral
CCCUUAGAUGUUCUGGGCCGCACGCGCGCUACACUGAUGCAUUCAACGAGCCUAGCCUUGACCGAGAGGUCCGGGUAAUCUUUGAAACCGCAUCGUGAUGGGGCUAGAUUAUUGCAAUUAUUAAUCUUCAACGAGGAAUGCCUAGUAAGCGUGAUUCAUCAAAUCGCGUUGAUUACGUCCCUGCCCUUUGUACACACCGCCCGUCGCUCCUACCGAUUGAGUGUGUUGGUGAGGAGUUUGGAUUGGCCUCGGAAGGUGGUUCGCCACCGUCCGUAGCUGAGAAGUUCUCCAAACCGCCCCACUUAGAGGAAGGAGAAGUCGUAACA